This is a non-coding RNA of Podarcis muralis (Common wall lizard), 513 nucleotides long. The record is from RefSeq and is a predicted model, not a curated record. Lineage: Eukaryota; Metazoa; Chordata; Lepidosauria; Squamata; Lacertidae.
UUUUCCCACAGUGGCUAAUCAGAUCACUAGCAGGACGUGUGUUCAAUAGCCCUCUGUCAAUUGUUUUUCGGAGGCAUGGUAUUGAUAAUGGAGCCUAUGGCCUGGAGAUGGCUGCUGUUAACAAACAACCCUUUUUUACAUGAUAAGCGCAGAGGAGGUUGAUUUGCUGUAAUCAUCUCUUCCUUUAUUUUAGGUGCCAAAUUCCCAAUGGAGCAGAAAAGACUAUGUAUGCGACCACAGCUGCACAGAUAUUAUUGGACCAGAGAUGGAAAGAGGACAGUCCUGACCAGAGAAGAAUGGCAGAUCAAGUUGAUGGAUUAUGCCGAAAUGGCAAAAAUGGCCCGAAGAAUCAGAAAUCAGGAAGACCAAAACUUCAAUAGGGAAUGGGGGAAAUUUAUAAUUUACCUUAAAAACCAUUGUAAACAGUUUAAAUCGUUGGUAGGAUUUGAAUAACAGUUGUAGUUUAAUAGUGAAUUUUGGAUAUAAUGGAGAUGUAAAAGAUUUGGACUAUUA